Molecule: ribosomal RNA, 293 nt
Filed under: Mantidactylus melanopleura
Lineage: Eukaryota; Metazoa; Chordata; Amphibia; Anura; Mantellidae
Description: partial 16S ribosomal RNA
Rfam family: Bacterial large subunit ribosomal RNA
Source: RNAcentral
CCCCCCUAGGCGCCGUGUGCUUGGUUUUAGGUUGGGGCGACCGCGGAGUACAAUAAAACCUCCACAAUGAAUGGGAACACCCCCUUAUCUGAGGGCCACACCCCCUAAGAAUUAGAACACUAACAUAAAAUGAUCCAUUACUUGAUCAAUGAACCAAGUUACCCUGGGGAUAACAGCGCAAUCCAUUUCAAGAGCCCCUAUCGACAAAUGGGUUUACGACCUCGAUGUUGGAUCAGGGUACCCCAGUGGUGCAGCAGCUACUAACGGUUCGUUUGUUCAACGAUUAAAACCCU